Manis pentadactyla (Chinese pangolin) is the source of this 875-nucleotide long non-coding RNA. RefSeq lists it as uncharacterized. The record is from RefSeq and is a predicted model, not a curated record. NCBI's taxonomy places the organism in Eukaryota, Metazoa, Chordata, Mammalia, Pholidota, Manidae. The transcript has 3 exons.
AAAUAACAAGAGCGGGUAGGCUUAAACUGACAGACAAGGAAAUCCUGGAAAAUCUGCAGUGGAGAAAGGAAGUGCUUUGGCGGCAGCAUGUGCCCCGGAGUCACCUGAGCUGGAGCAGGCGACACGGCCCCUGGUACUAAACGUAAGAGGAUACAAGAAAAAGUUUUCCUGCCCAACUGGGUAGGUAAAGGUGACCUGCGAGAAAGAAUCCAACCAGCAGAGACAAGCAGGAAGAAGGGAGGAGAAGGAGAUCUCUUGCAGUGUUGGAAGGCCUGGAUCAAUUGUUCAUCAGGCAGCACUCUUCCUGUGAUCUGGUAGCAGAUGAUAAUAUAUUUUUUUUUCUUUUUUGUCUUCUGGUUUGUGUUUUAAAGCUUUACAAUGAACUGUUCAAAAAGUUCUAACACAUGCAGAUUUUGUUUUACUUUGUUAAGUAAACAAGUUAAGCAAUAGAAUAUAAACAGCAUUGCCUGUGUGAGGCAGAUAUUUACAAGUCCACUAUAUUAUUUUUUCUCUCCUACUUGAACAUUUACUCAACAUUGUUUACGUAAUAGGAAAUUAGAAAAACAGAGAAUUGAGGCAUGUGUACCCCUGGCUAAGCUCAUCUACCUACAGGCAGCCCACUCUUCCAGGCAGACUUUAAUCUGGAAGAUUUCUUCUAAUGCUAACCAGUUUGAUGCAAAAAUUUUUGUUGAAAUGCUUUACAGUUCAGAGAAGAUCUGCCUUUCUUGGGAAGCAGUCUAUAAUAAUAGUGAAUGCCUUUGAAAAAAAAAUUAUUUUGUCUUGAGUACAUGAUCAAAAACAAUAACAAAACACUGUAAUAGGUGCAUUAAUCACAUAAACUAUUUACAUUUUGUAUUAAAUUCUGGAAAUUUGAG